This is a long non-coding RNA of Manis pentadactyla (Chinese pangolin), 3094 nucleotides long. RefSeq lists it as uncharacterized. The record is from RefSeq and is a predicted model, not a curated record. The transcript has 3 exons. Lineage: Eukaryota; Metazoa; Chordata; Mammalia; Pholidota; Manidae.
GAGCCUCGGGUUCAACCCGCGUCUGACAUCUGUGAGGGUAGUUUAUCUUUGUUCUGGCAAGUGCGGGGUCUUGCUUUACUUGUAAGUUGAUUAGUGUCUCGGACCCGGAACCCACACCCGCGUUGAUUAAAACUGAGUUUACAUUCCUGCCCUCCCCGAUUUUUCUGCUACCGCUGUUUUCACAUGCCAGGUUCACUUCAGCCCCCAAAUGGAUCUACAUUGUCACCUUGGUGCUCCAUCUCAACCCACAUAAGACUUCCUGCUCUUCCAAACUCCCAAAAGGUGCUAACUCCUAGCUUGAGAAGCAUAGUACUUAGGGACCAGGAAUCCAACCUGCUGGAUCUACCAGAAAAUGCUACCCUAAGGAGAAAUGGAGGAAAAGGAGGAAAAUUUGGAAGAUGAUUCAAAGAAGGGAGGAGAAAGGGUUUUCAUUAAAAGAAUUUAUGCCCUUAAUAAAGAUCAGAGCAGAAACAAAUAAAAUGGAGAAGAAUAAAACAAUAGAAAGAAUCAUUGAAACCAGGAGCUGGUUCUUUCAGAAAAUAAGCAAAAGAGAUAACCCCCUAGCCAGACUUAUCAAGAAAAAAAGAGAGUGUACUCACAUAAACAGAAUCAGAAAUGAGAAAAGAAAAAUCACUACAGACACCACAGAAAUACAAAAAAUUAUUAGAGAAUACUAUGAUAAUUAUAUGCUAAUAAAUUGGAUAACCUAGAAGAAAUGGACAACUGUCUAGAAAAAUACAAUCUUCCAAGACUAACUCAAGAAGAAACAGAAAAUCUGAACAGACCAAUUACCAGCAAUGAAAUUGAAUUGGUAUCAAAAACUACCAAGAACAAAAGUCCUGGACCUGAUGGCUUCACCGCUGAAUUUUAUCAAACAUUUAGAGAAGACCUAAUACCCAUCCUUCUUAAAGUUUUCCAAAAAGUAGAAGAGGAGGGAAUACUUCUAAACUCAUUCUGUGAGGCCAGCAUCACUCUAAUACCAAAACCAGACAAAGAUACCACAAAAAAGGAAAAUUACAGACCAAUAUCCCUGAUGAACAUAGAUGCAAAAAUACUCAACAAAAUAUUAGCAAACCAAACUCAAAAAUACAUCAAAAAGCUCAUCCAUCAUGAUCAAGUGAGAUUUAUUCCAGGGAUGCAAGGCUUACAAUAUUUGAAAAUCUAUCAACAUCAUCCACCACAUCAACAAAAAGAAGGACAAAAAUGAUCCUUUCAAUAUGAUCAUCUCAAUAGAUGCUGAAAAAGCAUUUGACAAAAUUCAACAUCCAUUCAUGAUAAAAACUCUCAAAAAAAUGGGUAUAGAGGGCCAAUACCUCAACAUAAUAAAGGCCAUAUACAACAAACCAACAGCCAACAUCCUACUUAACAGCAAAAAGCUGAAAGCUUUUCCUGUAUGAGUGGGAACAAGACAAGGAUGCCUACUCUCAUCUUUUAUAUUCAACAUAGUUCUGGAGGUCCUAGCCACAGCAAUCAGACAACACAAAGAAAAAAAAGUUAUCCAUAUUGGUAAGGAAGAAGUUAAACUGUCACUGUUUGCAGAUGACAUGGUAUUGUACAUAAAAAACCCUAAAGAAUCAACCCCAAAACUACAAGGACUAAUAACUGAAUUCAGCAAAGUUGCAGGCUACAAAAUUAAUACACAGAAAUCUGUUGCAUUCCUAUAUACUAAUGAUGAACUAGCAGGAAGAGAAUUCAGGAAAACAAUUCCAUUUACAAUUGCAUCAAAAAGAAUAAAAUACCUAACAAUAAACCUAAUCAAGAAGGUGAAAGACCUAUAGCCUGAAAACUACAAGACAGUCAUGAGAGAAAUUAAAGAAGACACCAAUAAAUAGAAACACAUCCUGUGCUCAUGGAUAGGAAGAAUUGAUAUUGUCAAAACGGUCAUCCUGCCUAAAGCAAUCUAUAGAUUCAGUGCAAUCCCUAUCAAAAUACCAACAACAUUCUUCAAUGAAUUAGAACAAAUAGUUCUAAACUUCAUAUGGAACCACAAAAGACCCCGAAUACCAAAGCAAUCCUGAGAAAGAAGAACAAAUCUGGAGGGAUUACCUCCCUACCUUCAAACUCUGCUAUGAAGUCACAGUAAUCAAAACAAUUCGGUACUGGCACAACAACAGACCCAUAGAUCAAUGGGACAGAAUAGAGAACCCAAAUAUAAACUCACACAUAUAUGGCUAAUUAAUAUACAAUAAAGGAGCCAUGGAUAUACAAUGAAGAAAUGACAGCCUCUUCAACAAAUGGUGUUGGCAAAACUGGACAGCUACAUGUAAGAGAAUGAAACUGGAUUAUUGUUUAACCUCAUACACAAAAGUAAACUCUAAAUGGAUCAAAGACCUGGAUGUAAUUCAUAAUCCAUAAAACUCAUAGAAGAAAACAUAGGCAAAAAUCUCUUGAAUAUAAACAUGAGCAACUUCUUCCUGAACACGUCUCCUCAGCAAGGGAAACAAAAGCAAAAGUGAACAAGUAGGACUACAUCAGAUCCCACCGUUUGCAACAACGUGGAUGGAUCUGGAGGGUAUUAUGCUCAGUGAAAUAAGCCAGGCAGAGAAAGACAAGUACCAAAUUAUUUCACUCAUUUGUGGAAUAUAACAUAACAACACAGUAAAACUGAAGGAACAAAACAGCAGCAGACUCACAGACUCCAAGAAGGGACUAGUGGUUACCAAAGGGAAGAGUGGAAGGGAGGGAGAAGGGGAUUAAGGAGCAUUAUAAUUCUCAAUCACAAUAUGGGUAGGUCAUGGGGAAGGCAGUACAACAUGGAGAAGAUGACAAACUGACAUUAAUUUCCAAACUUCUAGGUUUAAAAGACUAGAAAGCUGGCUUUCAGACUUGAUCUCCAGAAACAAGAUGUUUAUGUGAGGCUGAAGCCCCCAUUCAGGAUGAACAAUGGUUGUCAAGCAGGGUUCCCUGGGAGGGGUGACAAGAUUCUACUACCUCAGAGGAACCACUCAGGGGCCCCAUCCUGAAAUAUCUUGAUUUCAAAGAAAUCCCUGCUCUUUGAUAAACCCUCAAGCCACAUUUUCUGUUAGACAAAAAGACUCCAAUGGAUAUAGCACUCCAAGCAUGGUAAAGACUUUGACGUGAUUAGAAAUUUUGU